Long non-coding RNA from Onychostruthus taczanowskii (white-rumped snowfinch), 1029 nucleotides. RefSeq lists it as uncharacterized. The record is from RefSeq and is a predicted model, not a curated record. NCBI's taxonomy places the organism in Eukaryota, Metazoa, Chordata, Aves, Passeriformes, Passeridae. The transcript has 5 exons.
GACGUCACCGGGGCGGCCGCCGGGAGGCCGCGCCCCGGGACCCCCUGGGACUCAUCGGGAACCCCCCGGGAUCCUCUCGGAAACUCCCGGGAGCCCCGGAACCCCCCCGGCCCCGCCGGUGGCAGCUCCGGGCGGAGCCCCCGGGCACGGCGGGGCCCCGCGCCGCUCCAGGGACCCCCGCGAUGCGCAGCGGAGCAUCCCGGGAGAGCCGCGGGAAUGCCCCGGCAGGGCAGCUGGGAUGGAGCUCUCUGCUAGAAAGGCUGAAUGCUUGGAGUCAGCCACAGAGAAUUCCCUGCUGUCACAUCGUCCCUUGCUUUGGAGCCCAGCUCAGUAAUUCCUGUAGCACACCCUUCCCAUCCCAGUGAAUUGCUCCAGGUGUCAACUGAGCCAAGUCAGGAUCAGCUGCAGUUAUUCCAGAGUACGUGUCCACGUGCAGAAUAUUCCGGAACAGCAGCAGCAGUGGCAAGCACUGAGAUCAAGCAGGAUGGAGUGGCCUGGCCAAGCCAUAGCCCCGCUGGCAGGAGCUGCAGUGUGGACAGCAGAGGGAACAGCUUGGUCGUGAAGGUGCUGUUCUCCUGAAAGAGGAUCCUGGCAAAAACAUGGCUUGGUGCAGGGGAUGACACACUGAAGGCGAGACAGCGGCAGACACUUGAGCGGAGACUCCUUGUGUUUACAGCCUGGUCAUACGAGCUACUGAGACCCAAAAUCUCCCUGACAUCCUCUCUGGAUGCUUGGCCUUGGAACAACCUCAUUCGUGCCACACCUGCUCCCUUCCACUCGUGGAGCCUUCUAUGCUGCACAGGACACUGGAAAAGCACUUGGAGAUGGCUGGAGAAGGAGGGGACUUCCCGGAAAACAGUCUCUAAACCAGCCCUUCCCUGUGCCGUGGCUUUUCUGGGGCUCAUUAAUAUCAGUGGUAUGUGCUUAUAUCUCAAUUCUCCAGGAUUAAUUCAAAAUCCACAGACACUGACAUGCCUAGGGGCUUUUCAAUUAUGUCACUCGGCUUUGGCUAAGGCCCUUACAUUUGCA